Cavia porcellus (domestic guinea pig) is the source of this 70-nucleotide non-coding RNA. Lineage: Eukaryota; Metazoa; Chordata; Mammalia; Rodentia; Caviidae. The record is from Rfam.
GGGGAUUUAGCUCAUUGGCAUAAGCACCUGCCUUGCAAGCAGGCAGUCCUGAGUUCGAUCCCCAGUACCG